UCCCAGUUCGGAUUGUAGUCUGCAACCCGGCUACAUGAAGCUGGAAUCGCUAGUAAUCGCGGAUCAGAAUGCCGCGGUGAAUACGUUCCCGGGCCUUGUACACACCGCCCGUCAAGCCAUGGGAGCCGGGGGCGCCUGAAGUCCGGGACCGCGAGGACCGGCCUAGGGCGAAACUGGUGACUGGGGCUAAGUCGUAACAAGGUAGC
Molecule: ribosomal RNA, 206 nt
Filed under: uncultured bacterium
Lineage: Bacteria
Description: partial 16S ribosomal RNA
Rfam family: Bacterial small subunit ribosomal RNA
Source: RNAcentral